This 254-nucleotide ribosomal RNA is filed under the name uncultured bacterium. RNAcentral describes it as "partial 16S ribosomal RNA". It matches the Rfam family "Bacterial small subunit ribosomal RNA", at positions 524 to 776 of the family's 1533-position model. The record is from RNAcentral.
UACAGAGGGGGCAAGCGUUGUUCGGAAUUACUGGGCGUAAAGGGCGCGUAGGCGGCCUGCUAAGUCGAACGUGAAAUCUCCGAGCUCAACUCGGGAACUGCGUCCGAUACUGGCAGGCUUGAAUCCGGGAGAGGGAUGCGGAAUUCCAGGUGUAGCGGUGAAAUGCGUAGAUAUCUGGAGGAACACCGGUGGCGAAGGCGGCAUCCUGGACCAAUUCUGACGCUGAGUGAGCGAAAGCCAGGGGAGCAAACGGG